Molecule: unclassified non-coding RNA, 275 nt
Filed under: Hevea brasiliensis (rubber tree)
Lineage: Eukaryota; Viridiplantae; Streptophyta; Magnoliopsida; Malpighiales; Euphorbiaceae
Source: RNAcentral
UUUGCUUCGAUUCCCAAUUUCUAAUUUCUGUUUAACGUUUCAAUGUUCGAUUUGAGCAUAUGGCUCUACCCCCAGAUUCGAAAACCCCUAAGCUAGAUUUGAACUGUGUCAAAUACGUUUAUAAAAUCAACUUACCCAUUCUGAAAACCUUAAUUGUACGAAAUUUACAAAUGAUCGAAGUAGAGAAUCACAGGCAAAGAUACAGAGAAAAGGGCAAUCGAUUUACAUAGAGAUAUAGAACUUCAGAGAGAGAUCCAAGGGAACCCUAGAUCCUC